RNAcentral lists this ribosomal RNA (314 nucleotides) under Tetraclita rufotincta. Its description in RNAcentral is "partial 12S ribosomal RNA". The record is from RNAcentral. Lineage: Eukaryota; Metazoa; Arthropoda; Thecostraca; Balanomorpha; Tetraclitidae.
GAAAUUUAACGGAUUUGGCGGCAAGAUAGCCCCUUAGAGGAACCUGCCCUGUAAACGAUGAACCACGAAGAAACAUUACUUUUUUUUGAGAUCAGUUUGUAUAUCGCUGUUGUCAGUUAGAUUCUAGAGAAUAUUUUCAUUCAUGAUAAAGUCAUUGACUUCAAGUAAAGGUGCAGCUUAUAGAAAAGAAAGAGGUGGGUUACAUUUAAAAGAAUAAACGGAUAAGGUGAAUGAAAAAACCUUUGAAGGUGGAUUUAACUGUAAAACUUAAGAAAGUUUGGUGGGAGCUCUAUCUUGUGUACACACCGCCCGUC